UGAUGGCGACCGGCGCAAGGGUGCGUAACGCGUGAGCAACUUGCCCGUUUCUGGGGGAUAACCGGUGGAAACGCCGACUAAUACCCCAUGGCAUUGAUUUCAGGCAUCUGUUAUCAAUUAAAGAAUUUCGGAGACGGAUAGGCUCGCGUGACAUUAGCUAGAUGGCGGGGUAACGGCCCACCAUGGCAACGAUGUCUAGGGGUUCUGAGAGGAAGGUCCCCCACACUGGAACUGAGACACGGUCCAGACUCCUACGGGAGGCAGCAGUGAGGAAUAUUGCACAAUGGGGGAAACCCUGAUGCAGCGACGCCGCGUGAGUGAAGAAGUAUUUCGGUAUGUAAAGCUCUAUCAGCAGGGAAGAAAAUGACGGUACCUGACUAAGAAGCUCCGGCUAAAUACGUG
This 402-nucleotide ribosomal RNA is filed under the name uncultured bacterium. Its description in RNAcentral is "bacterial SSU rRNA". It matches the Rfam family "Bacterial small subunit ribosomal RNA", at positions 86 to 507 of the family's 1533-position model. The record is from RNAcentral.